UUCAAGGUUGCUUGCGGAAGCUGUCUAC
RNAcentral lists this non-coding RNA (28 nucleotides) under Rattus norvegicus (Norway rat). The record is from RNAcentral. Lineage: Eukaryota; Metazoa; Chordata; Mammalia; Rodentia; Muridae.